Molecule: ribosomal RNA, 289 nt
Filed under: uncultured Pseudomonas sp.
Lineage: Bacteria; Pseudomonadati; Pseudomonadota; Gammaproteobacteria; Pseudomonadales; Pseudomonadaceae
Description: partial 16S ribosomal RNA
Rfam family: Bacterial small subunit ribosomal RNA
Source: RNAcentral
CGAGCGCAACCCUUGUCCUUAGUUACCAGCACGUUAUGGUGGGCACUCUAAGGAGGACUGCCGGUGACAACCGGAGGAAGUGGGGAUGACGUCAAGUCAUCAUGGCCCUUACGGCCUGGGCUACACACGUGCUACAAUGGUCGGUACAAAGGGUUGCCAAGCCGCGAGGUGGAGCUAAUCCCAUAAAACCGAUCGUAGUCCGGAUCGCAGUCUGCAACUCGACUGCGUGAAGUCGGAAUCGCUAGUAAUCGUGAAUCAGAAUGUCACGGUGAAUACGUUCCCGGGCCUU